RNAcentral lists this ribosomal RNA (400 nucleotides) under uncultured bacterium. Its description in RNAcentral is "bacterial SSU rRNA". It matches the Rfam family "Bacterial small subunit ribosomal RNA", at positions 355 to 747 of the family's 1533-position model. The record is from RNAcentral.
UGGGGAAUAUUGGACAAUGGGCGAAAGCCUGAUCCAGCCAUGCCGCGUGUGUGAAGAAGGUCUUCGGAUUGUAAAGCACUUUAAGUUGGGAGGAAGGGCUUAAGGCUAAUAUCCUUGAGUUUUGACGUUACCGACAGAAUAAGCACCGGCUAACUCUGUGCCAGCAGCCGCGGUAAUACAGAGGGUGCAAGCGUUAAUCGGAAUUACUGGGCGUAAAGCGCGCGUAGGCGGUUUGGUAAGUUGAAUGUGAAAGCCCCGGGCUCAACCUGGGAACUGCAUCCAAAACUGCCAGGCUAGAGUACAGUAGAGGGUGGUGGAAUUUCCUGUGUAGCGGUGAAAUGCGUAGAUAUAGGAAGGAACACCAGUGGCGAAGGCGACCACCUGGACUGAUACUGACGCU